Long non-coding RNA from Lactuca sativa (garden lettuce), 315 nucleotides. RefSeq lists it as uncharacterized. The record is from RefSeq and is a predicted model, not a curated record. Lineage: Eukaryota; Viridiplantae; Streptophyta; Magnoliopsida; Asterales; Asteraceae.
CUCGGAGUCGGAUGUCAGGCAGGCGGAGACGCCGGAGAUAACUGUUCAUGCGCAGACAUCUCGCCGGAAACCGAAAGGAAUCCUACAGAUAUGUGUGAUUCUGUGUGAGACAGACGGAUUGAAGAAGGAUAAAAUGGUACUUCGGAUGAUCGCGGGAAGGCAAAGGUGUGAUCGUACAACUCCUCACAUAUUAUGACUUUGUUUUUGGGAUACUCUGAUAUGGAACUAAUUUGAAAACAAAUUUAUAAUAAGUUUUGGUUUUGAAUGAUUUAAAAAGUUUUAAUUUGGCAUGAUUUUUAUGGAUUUUACAGUAGA